AGAAAGACUGUAGAGUUAACGGUGAAAUCUCUUGUGGGUUGCAGUAUCUUCCAAGGAAAUCACCGAUUGAACCGUCAUUGCCAUUGCCAAAGGGAUCGCUCUGACCCAAAGGUAAGUAAUUUAGGGUUUGCUCUGUUUCCUUGUCCAUGUUCAUCUAAAAAAGACCACAACUUUGAUAAAAAAAGGUGAAAUUUUUCAACUUCUCUGGGAAUUCUGAAGAAAACCCAGAAUCUGAAUCAGAAAGCAAGAUUGGAAUUGAAGUGGAAACAACCAAAUUGUGAAGUAAAAAGAGAAACUUUAUUUGUGUUUCUUCAAACAAAGUGACAACUUUUAACUAAGACCGUUGAGAAAAAUGUAAGCUUUUUCCCAAUUAUGGGUUUUGUGGAAAGAUCUAUGAGGGAAAUGAGGAAAUGAGUCAGAGGAACUAGAAAUGAAGAAGCAUGAUUGAUCAAUCAAAGUAGAGGAAAGAGGAAAGAGAGAAAGAGGCGGUGACUUUUUUUACUGAUCAAGGAUGAGGAAGAUGAAGAAGAAGAAGGUUUAAGAGAAAAUGACAAAAAAAAUUAAAAAAGAGAAAGAGGGAAAGUAAUGAUAAGAAAAUUCUAAUUAAAAUUAGGAAAUUAAAAGAGUGAGUUUUACAGUUCAAAAGGAGAAGAAUCUUACGUGUGUUUAUGUUAAUGUGGGAACAUUAGAUGGUGAAAGUGGGUAGGCUGCUUAGGCUGGCCUCUGUAAUCAUUGGAGUGAGAAGAAGAGAGAGAGAAGAGAGAGAAGAGAGCAUGUGCAUGGCAGAGACAGGAAAGUUGUGGGAGAGAAAACAAACAAAAGGAUAAAAUUGUUUGUUAAUUAUCAUGUUUAAUUAUUCUUGGUUAAGAUACUGUAUUACUCACCAAAACAUGAUGGUGUCAAAAAGUCAAUAAUUGACUUGGAAGGGGUUUUAGAUCUUGAAUUUGAUGAAUUAUUUGUUGUUGUUUUAUUAAAAUCAAGGGAAGC
RNAcentral lists this long non-coding RNA (987 nucleotides) under Capsella rubella. RNAcentral describes it as "long non-coding RNA (CRUB_LNC003746)". Lineage: Eukaryota; Viridiplantae; Streptophyta; Magnoliopsida; Brassicales; Brassicaceae. The record is from RNAcentral.